RNAcentral lists this long non-coding RNA (199 nucleotides) under Homo sapiens (human). RNAcentral describes it as "cat eye syndrome chromosome region, candidate 9 (CECR9)". The record is from RNAcentral. Lineage: Eukaryota; Metazoa; Chordata; Mammalia; Primates; Hominidae.
CUUCAUCAACUUCAUUCCUGAGUCAUACUUACUUAAUAAACAAGACAAGAUCAACAACAAGAAAGGUGGAAGAACACAGCUGGUUUACCUGCACAGGAGCUAAAUACUUUGCAAUUCCAUUGGCUGAGCGCAACACCAAGAGGCUGACUAAGAGGAGCACACAUGCACAACUGCUGCGUGGGAAACAGGAUGGCAGCGA